Molecule: long non-coding RNA, 1381 nt
Organism: Nothoprocta perdicaria
Lineage: Eukaryota; Metazoa; Chordata; Aves; Tinamiformes; Tinamidae
Exons: 4
Source: RefSeq, a predicted model, not a curated record
UGAGUGUUUCUGGAGGGUCUGAACCAUGUCUACGUCCCUGCAUGCUUCCCCUGGUGUUAUCAGCAGUGCAGGCCAAUGACACCAGCAAAAUGAAGAGCCUGGAGCUGCAUGAGCUACAUGCACUUGAGCCUGCGCUGGAGCAUGGGCUAUCACGUGCAGUGCAGGGGACAUUUCUCCCUGGCCUGUCCCUGUCUCCAUGCUGCAUUCUGCCCUGGAGCUGAAUCAGCACCAUUUCUGAGAGGACUAACAGAGAGCAUUACCACCAAUUACUUGAUGCUUGGAGAGAGGAAAGGACAUUCUUUCCUCAAAUGCAGAAGGAUCCUGCUGAGUCAGCUGUGAGUGCUGCCUUUUGGGCUCACUGCGUGCUACCAGGAUGCAGCAUGUACCCAGGGCCGUUGGGGACAUCCUGUCCCUCCUUCUGCAGGAGGACUUGGCGCUUCUUGGCAAAUGCAGCAGGGUGCAAGGGACUGAUUAGAACUCAAUAACCCAGCUAUUGCACAGGCCACCCCACUCCACCAGCCACGUAAUCUGUUUUGGAAGAACAUCAUCAGUGGAGAGAGUGUAUAGUGGUGUUUGGCCCUUGCCUUGUGGAGGUGGUGGUAACCUCUUGCUCUCACAUGAGUGGUGACUGCCUUAGCUUGUCUUCUGGACCCACAGGAGAAAGCUCAGAGAAACCAGUGGAGAUGGAAAAAGCCCAAGUUGUGAAGAGGUUGGCUUUUCAUGUGAGUGGUGACGCAAGUGUCGCACAGAAGCGUGAUGGAUACGCACACACCAUCUCAGCAAGAUGCUGCUCUCCAGGUCCCUCCCAAGAGACUGCUUGUCCAGGGGACACCAAGGACUUGUGCAAUGGUGUCAGUGGCCUUUUCUGACAUCCAGCAUGGGUUUGUUUAAUCUCUGGAGCUUUAUGUCUGUCACUGGCAUGUUGCCCCACAGUCUGCUGAUGCCACCUACAGUUAUGGGGAGAUGCAGACGAUUGGCCUGGCAAAGCAGAGUUGCAGACAGCCCAAAAGCCAGGGCAGACUGAGAGCUGCUGUCUAGAAGAACAGGAAGGCAAUAUCUUGCAGAUAUAGGGUCAGUCUGUAAUGCAGUCCAAUGCUUAUUCACAGAACAGGUCCUGGCCCCAGAGCCAGAGACCUGCCCUGCUCAUGUACCCGUAGAAAAUCUCUUGGAGUAAAUCAUGCGCAUUGCAAAUGGCUGCUGUUGUUUAGAUGGACGUGAGACAGUUCAGCCUGGAACUGAGUUCAGCCACUCAACUCUGUAAAUUUAAUGCAUGCAAAUGCUGCUGAAGAUUUAAUGGGAAACACAGUGGAGAAAAAUAAAGACAGACCUUUUGAGGUCUUGGAUGCUGAGAGUAAUAUUUGGGUUUGGUGACUCUCUGUAU